This 478-nucleotide ribosomal RNA is filed under the name uncultured bacterium. Its description in RNAcentral is "partial 16S ribosomal RNA". It matches the Rfam family "Bacterial small subunit ribosomal RNA", at positions 28 to 523 of the family's 1533-position model. The record is from RNAcentral.
GACGAACGCUGGCGGUGUGCUUAACACAUGCAAGUCGAACGGUAAGGCCCUUCGGGGUACACGAGUGGCGAACGGGUGAGUAACACGUGGGUGAUCUGCCCUGCACUUCGGGAUAAGCCUGGGAAACUGGGUCUAAUACCGGAUAGGACCAUUGCCUGCAUGGGUGGUGGUGGAAAGCUUUUGCGGUGUGGGAUGGGCCCGCGGCCUAUCAGCUUGGUGGUGGGGUGAUGGCCUACCAAGGCGACGACGGGUAGGCGGCCUGAGAGGGUGACCGGCCACACUGGGACUGAGAUACGGCCGAGACUGCUACGGGAGGCAGCAGUGGGGAAUAUUGCACAAUGGGCGCAAGCCUGAUGCAGCGACGCCGCGUGAGGGAUGACGGCCUUCGGGUUGUAAACCUCUUUCAGCAUCGACGAAGCGCAAGUGACGGUAGGUGCAGAAGAAGGACCGGCCAACUACGUGCCAGCCGCCGCCGUAA